UUCGCAAUGCCCGAAAGGGUGACGAAGCGACGCCGCGUGUGGGAAGAAGGCCUUCGGGUUGUAAACCACUGUCGGGAGUUAAGAAAUGCAAGGAUAUUAAUAGUGUCUUUGUUUGACUAAGGCUCCGGAGGAAGCCACGGCUAACUCUGUGCCAGCAGCCGCGGUAAUACAGAGGCGGCAAGCGUUGUUCGGAAUUAUUGGGCGUAAAGAGCACGUAGGCGGCUAUGUAAGUCGGUUGUGAAAGCCUUCCACUCAACGGAAGAACAGCAUCCGAUACUACAUGGCUUGAGUGCGGGAGGGGAGAGUGGAACUUCUGGUGGAGCGGUGAAAUGCGUAGAUAUCAGAAGGAACGCCGGCGGCGAAAGCGGCUCUCUGGCCCAUAACUGACGCUGAGUGUGCGAAAGCUAGGGGAGCAAACGGGAUUAGAUACCCCGGUAGUCCUAGCCGUAAACGAUGGGCACUAAGUAGAGGGGUUUU
RNAcentral lists this ribosomal RNA (477 nucleotides) under uncultured bacterium. RNAcentral's name for it is "bacterial SSU rRNA". It matches the Rfam family "Bacterial small subunit ribosomal RNA", at positions 365 to 832 of the family's 1533-position model. The record is from RNAcentral.